Glossina palpalis gambiensis is the source of this 73-nucleotide non-coding RNA. NCBI's taxonomy places the organism in Eukaryota, Metazoa, Arthropoda, Insecta, Diptera, Glossinidae. The record is from Rfam.
GUCCCUUUGGCACAGAGGAUAGUGCGUUGGACUUCUAAUCCAAAGGUCGCGGGUUCGAUCCCCGCAAGGGAUG